Callithrix jacchus (white-tufted-ear marmoset) is the source of this 1968-nucleotide long non-coding RNA. Lineage: Eukaryota; Metazoa; Chordata; Mammalia; Primates; Cebidae. The record is from Ensembl.
AGCAAGACAAGGAGCAUGGAAAAGUGUGAGUGGGAAAGUCUGACAGCAAAUGUGGAGGUGGGAGGAAGUCAAUCCUGCUCCACUCUAUUGGUGGCAUCAGGUUUCCAGGUACUGUGGAUCAGGAGCCCAAGCAUGCCUUAGUUACAACCACUGCUACAGAGUUUCUCAGAAACCUACAAUCAAACUAUUGUCCAGCUCUGGGUCUCUGCCUCCAUGCUCACCAGGUUGUCUGGAUCUAAUUCCUUCUAGACUGCAAGCCAACCUCCCUCAAUCACUUGACACAUAGGUAUUUCAAUAGGGUACCUCCCACUGUUGCAGCUUCCUUCCUUUAAUCUAGUAGGGGAGAGAGUCUACAGACAAGAGGAAUGUUACAUUAUAUUAAUAUAAUCACAGAAGUGACAUCCUGUCCCUUUUGUUGUAUUCCAUUUAUUAGAAUUGAGUUACAGCUCUCUCUCAUAGUCGAAGGAAGGGAUUUAUACAAGAGCUUGAAUACUAUACCUCCUGGCACACAGGGCUACCCUACAAUGGAUCCACCACAACUUCAUGAUCCAAAUGUUAAGGGAAUAUGAAUACAGAGAUUAUGACAUCACUUCUUUAUGAUCAAUGCUUGAAUUGAAUAUCCAGUGUCAAUUAUUUUUGGAAGAAUUGUAGUGAGACACAGUUGUGAGACUCCUUUGUAUCCUCACUGGUACUCCUUUCAUACCAAAUAUUCUGGUUUAGAACUUAUUCUCACAUAUCUUCUGACCUAAAAAAAAAUUGCUGCUUAAUCCGUUACUCACACAUUUUUAAUGACAGUGGUGUCAACAAAUCUCCUUUACUGCCCAUCAUAGAACGCUGUGUGCAGUGGCUCAUACUUGUAAUUCUAGCACUUUUGGAGGCCAAGGCAGGAGGAUCACUUGAGGCUAGGAGUUCAAGACCAGUCUGGGCAACACAGACCAUCUACACACACAAAAAAAAAGAUUAAAAUUAGCCAAGUGUGAUGGUGCUUGCGUGUAGUCCCAGCUUCUCAGAGGCUGAAGUGGGAGGAUUGUUUGAGCCAGGGACUUCAAAACUGCAAUCAGCUAUGACUGUGCCACAGCACUCCAACCUGGGCAACAGAGCGAGUCUCCGUGAUCAAAAUGAAAAUAAUAAAAGUUUGUGUUGUGUUUUAUCUCAAGAGAACUCUCCUGUGGAUGAUUUGGUUUUUCUGAAGGCCAACUUCACAAGGCAAGUCCACAGCUAACCCCUCUAAUAGAAAUAUGAUGUUCUCUCUAGCAUUUGGUGUCAUUACCAAGAUUAUUGAUAGUACUUUUGUCUAAAAGUCACAACCUCUGAAACUAAUAAGAAAGAAGGCAGAAGCCAGAUUACAGGACAGAACUGCUACCCCACAAAUCAGUACGUAGGUGUGACAGUUAAUUCAGUUGGUGUAAUGAAUUGUAUCUACUCAUCAGGCUACAUUUAGAACUUAUGAUAUACACUAACCAAAUGGAGAGCAAAAAUAAAUAAAUAAAAAGCAGAAGUUGCAAUUCUCACACUUAAUAAAAUAGAUUUCAAAGCUACAAGGAUGCAAGGGUAAAAGGAUUAAUGCAACAAUAAGAGAUCUUAACACCCAGAUACAUAAGACACAUAAUGAGAUUUAGAUUCAACGAGACAACAAAUUGAUAAUGAUAUCCAGGACUUGAACUCAGAGCCAGAACAAAUAAACAAAAUAGAGGUCUCCAUUUUAAACACAUAAAAUAUGCAUUAACCACUUUAAACACUCAAAAUAUUGAUUGGCCAUUAUUGAAACCCAUUUUAGGAAUGAAGUAAUAUUCCUUUUUCCCUCUUUUUCUUUUUUUCCUCUUCUUCUUCUCUUUUUCCCUCAAAAAAAAAAAAGAACUUAUGAUAUAAACAGUGAGAAUUUUAUGAGAGAAUGAGCAGAAGCAGUGGAGCAAGGACCUAAGAUUAGUUUGAAUGACCUAUAUUUGUUAUACCAACCACAUUCUAGAA